RNAcentral lists this ribosomal RNA (448 nucleotides) under uncultured bacterium. Its description in RNAcentral is "partial 16S ribosomal RNA". It matches the Rfam family "Bacterial small subunit ribosomal RNA", at positions 29 to 523 of the family's 1533-position model. The record is from RNAcentral.
AACGAACGCUGGCGGCAUGCCUAACACAUGCAAGUCGAACGAGACCUUCGGGUCUAGUGGCGCACGGGUGCGUAACGCGUGGGAAUCUACCCUUGGGUUCGGAAUAACAGUUAGAAAUGACUGCUAAUACCGGAUGAUGACGUAAGUCCAAAGAUUUAUCGCCCAAGGAUGAGCCCGCGUAAGAUUAGCUUGUUGGUGGGGUAAUGGCCCACCAAGGCGACGAUCUUAGCUGGUCUGAGAGGAUGAUCAGCCACACUGGGACUGAGACACGGCCCAGACUCCUACGGGAGGCAGCAGUGGGGAAUAUUGGACAAUGGGCGAAAGCCUGAUCCAGCAAUGCCGCGUGAGUGAUGAAGGCCUUAGGGUUGUAAAGCUCUUUUACCAGGGAUGAUAAUGACAGUACCUGGAGAAUAAGCUCCGGCUAACUCCGUGCCAGCCGCCGCUGUAA